Molecule: ribosomal RNA, 253 nt
Filed under: uncultured bacterium
Lineage: Bacteria
Description: partial 16S ribosomal RNA
Rfam family: Bacterial small subunit ribosomal RNA
Source: RNAcentral
UACAGAGGGUGCGAGCGUUAAUCGGAAUUACUGGGCGUAAAGCGUGCGCAGGCGGUUUGCUAAGCCAGGUGUGAAAUCCCCGGGCUUAACCUGGGAACUGCGCUUGUUACUGGCAAGCUGGAGUGUGGCAGAGGGGGGUGGAAUUCCACGUGUAGCAGUGAAAUGCGUAGAGAUGUGGAGGAACACCGAUGGCGAAGGCAGCCCCCUGGGCUAACACUGACGCUCAUGCACGAAAGCGUGGGGAGCAAACAGG